AUGAGAAUAAAAAUGGAACUUGCCUUCUAUUAUUACACCUGUCUUUGCCGCCUUGUAGGAUUGGCCAUGUCGGUGUCCCCGGGCCCCGCGGAACGGCUUUAGCGAACUCUACCACUGCUCUGCGGGCUAUCCCUCAGCAGCGGCUCGGGCAGCUGCCCAGCCCCGGAAAGCCGCGGUCACCAGCCGUGUGCGGCUCCUGCCACACGCAGGGCUGUGAAUGAGGGUGCCGGGACGGGCCCCGCGGCUUCCCCCGGACGGCUCUGGCCCGGCCCCGGCCCCGGCCCCGGCGAGCCCUGUGUGGGGCACGAGCCCUUCCUGGCGCCGCCGGGAGCCGCCCCCGCUCCGCGCCCGGCCCCGCGCUGUGGGCCCUUCGUUUGAAAAUAAAGCCGUCAUCAAAACCAUUCGGACACUGCAUGAAAGUCGCCUGUUCACACCCUGCAGUAUCUGAACAAGAACCUGGCCCAGAUCGUAUGUUCUGCAUCUCCAUCUGUGCUGGUUAAAAAGGAGGGUGAACUGCACUAGUAGGUGGGAAGGCCUUUGCUCUCUGCUGGAGCAGAGCGGGACAUGGUGCUAGAGCAGCAGAGUGAAAGAUGCCUCUCAUGCCUGCAGUGAAACUUAGCAGACAGAAGUUCCCCCAGAAGAGGGGAUCUAGUCCACAACAGAGGUCCCUGACUGUGCUGCAUCCAGUGUGUGAGCCUUUGUUUUCACCCCAGACAAUUCAUGAUGCUCGCUGCCCAGCAUUAAUGGAAUUGUGUUUCCUUGCA
This is a long non-coding RNA of Cyanistes caeruleus (blue tit), 764 nucleotides long. RefSeq lists it as uncharacterized. The record is from RefSeq and is a predicted model, not a curated record. Lineage: Eukaryota; Metazoa; Chordata; Aves; Passeriformes; Paridae.